Small nucleolar RNA from Fundulus heteroclitus (mummichog), 84 nucleotides. RefSeq annotates it as small nucleolar RNA SNORD35. The record is from RefSeq and is a predicted model, not a curated record. The transcript has a single exon. Lineage: Eukaryota; Metazoa; Chordata; Actinopteri; Cyprinodontiformes; Fundulidae.
UGCAGAUGAUGCUUUUCUCACGAUGGUCUUCCAAGCUCCAGCAGCUCUGACGAUAUUGCCUUUGGCAAUCACUGAUGCAGUUUU